This 325-nucleotide ribosomal RNA is filed under the name uncultured eukaryote. Its description in RNAcentral is "partial 18S ribosomal RNA". It matches the Rfam family "Eukaryotic small subunit ribosomal RNA", at positions 1470 to 1796 of the family's 1831-position model. The record is from RNAcentral.
CCCUUAGAUGUUCUGGGCUGCACGCGUGCUACACUGAUAUUGCCAAUAUGUCAUUCUUAUCCGAAAUGGAUUGGGUAAUCAAGUAAUGAAAUUUCAUGCUUGGAAUCGGUAAUUGCAAUUUUAUCGUGAACGAGGAAUUCCUAGUAAGCACUAGUCAUCAGCUAAUGUUGAUUAUGUCCCUGCCCUUUGUACACACCGCCCGUCGCACCUACCGAUUGAAUGGUCCGGUGAAAUCUUCGGAUUGAGACUUUGAUUUCUUCACGGAAAACGCUGUUUUAAAAAGUUGAUUAAACCUUACCAUUUAGAGGAAGGUGAAGUCGUAACA